GGUCAAGCGAAUAAGCGCACACGGUGGAUGCCUUGGCGGUCAGAGGCGAUGAAGGACGUGGCAGCCUGCGAAAAGUAUCGGGGAGCUGGCAACAAGCUUUGAUCCGGUAAUGUCCGAAUGGGGAAACCCACCCGCUUGCGGGUAUCCUGCAGUGAAUACAUAGCUGCUGGAAGCGAACCUGGUGAACUGAAAUAUCUAAGUAACCAGAGGAAAAGAAAUCAACCGAGAUUCCGUAAGUAGCGACGAGCGAACGCGGACUAGCCCUUAAGCUGGAUUGGUUCUAGGAAAACGCUCUGGAAAGAGCGGCCAUAGAAGGUGAUAGCCCUGUAUCUGAAAGGGCCAUUCCAGUGAAGACGAGUAGGGCGGGGCACGUGAAACCCUGUCUGAACAUGGGGGGACCAUCCUCCAAGGCUAAAUACUACUGACCGACCGAUAGUGAACCAGUACCGUGAGGGAAAGGCGAAAAGAACCCCGGAGAGGGGAGUGAAAUAGAACCUGAAACCGUGUGCGUACAAGCAGUAGGAGCUCCGCAAGGAGUGACUGCGUACCUUUUGUAUAAUGGGUCAGCGACUUACUGUUCGUGGCAAGCUUAACCGUAUAGGGGAGGCGAAGGGAAACCGAGUCUGAUAAGGGCGCAUAGUCGCGGGCAGUAGACCCGAAACCGGGUGAUCUAGUCAUGCCCAGGGUGAAGGUGCGGUAACACGCACUGGAGGCCCGAACCCACUCCCGUUGCAAAGGUAGGGGAUGAGGUGUGAUUAGGAGUGAAAAGCUAAUCGAACCCGGAGAUAGCUGGUUCUCCUCGAAAGCUAUUUAGGUAGCGCCUCAUAUGUAUCCUCUCGGGGGUAGAGCACUGUUAUGGCUAGGGGGUCAUCGCGACUUACCAAACCAUUGCAAACUCCGAAUACCGAGACGGACUGUAUGGGAGACACACGGCGGGUGCUAACGUCCGUCGUGAAAAGGGAAACAACCCAGACCCACAGCUAAGGUCCCAAAUUUUGUGCUAAGUGGAAAACCAUGUGGAAAGGCACAGACAGCCAGGAGGUUGGCUUAGAAGCAGCCACCCUUUAAAGAAAGCGUAAUAGCUCACUGGUCGAGUCGGUCUGCGGGGAAGAUUUAACGGGGCUAAGCAGUGAACCGAAGCUUGGGGUGCAUAACUUUGUUAUGCGCGGUAGAGGAGCGUUCCGUAAGCCGUUGAAGGUGGAUUGAGAAGUCUGCUGGAGGUAUCGGAAGUGCGAAUGCUGACAUGAGUAACGAUAAUGCGGGUGAAAAACCCGCACGCCGAAAGCCCAAGGUUUCCUUGCGCAACGUUAAUCGGCGCAGGGUGAGUCGGCCCCUAAGGCGAGGACGAAAGUCGUAGUCGAUGGGAAGCAGGUUAAUAUUCCUGCACCUCGCGUAAGUGCGAUGGAGGGACGGAGAAGGUUAGGUGUACCAGGCGUUGGUUGUCCUGGGGAAAGGCGGUAGGUUUGGAUCUUUGGCAAAUCCGGGAUCCUUUAAGACCGAGCACCGAGACGAGCCUUUAAGGCGAAGUCACUGAUACCACGCUUCCAGGAAAAGCUCCUAAGCUUCAGCUUACGCAGACCGUACCGUAAACCGACACAGGUGGGUAGGAUGAGAAUUCUCAGGCGCUUGAGAGAACUCGGGUGAAGGAACUAGGCAACAUGGCACCGUAACUUCGGGAGAAGGUGCACCCUUUUUGGUGGCUCGUGCGAGCUAUAGCUGAAGAGGGUCGCAGUAACCAGGCCGCUGCGACUGUUUAUCAAAAACACAGCACUCUGCAAACACGAAAGUGGACGUAUAGGGUGUGACGCCUGCCCGGUGCUGGAAGGUUAAUUGAUGGGGUCAGCCGCAAGGCGAAGCUCUUGAUCGAAGCCCCAGUAAACGGCGGCCGUAACUAUAACGGUCCUAAGGUAGCGAAAUUCCUUGUCGGGUAAGUUCCGACCUGCACGAAUGGCGUAACGACAGCGGCGCUGUCUCCACCCGAGACUCAGUGAAAUUGAAAUCGCUGUGAAGAUGCAGCGUUCCCGUGGCAAGACGGAAAGACCCCGUGAACCUUUACUAUAGCUUUACACUGAACGUUGAGUUCGUCUGUGUAGGAUAGGUGGGAGGCUACGAAACCAUGGCGCUAGCUGUGGUGGAGCCAUCCUUGAAAUACCACCCUGUCGUGCUUGACGUUCUAACCUGGGCCCAUUAUCUGGGUCGGGGACCGUGUAUGGUGGGUAGUUUGACUGGGGCGGUCUCCUCCUAAAGAGUAACGGAGGAGCUCGAAGGUACGCUCAGCGCGGUCGGACAUCGCGCACUGUGUGCAAAGGCAUAAGCGUGCUUGACUGCAAGAUCGACGGAUCAAGCAGGUAGGAAACUAGGACUUAGUGAUCCGGUGGUUCUGUAUGGAAGGGCCAUCGCUCAACGGAUAAAAGGUACUCCGGGGAUAACAGGCUGAUACCGCCCAAGAGUUCAUAUCGACGGCGGUGUUUGGCACCUCGAUGUCGGCUCAUCACAUCCUGGGGCUGUAGUCGGUCCCAAGGGUAUGGCUGUUCGCCAUUUAAAGUGGUACGCGAGCUGGGUUCAGAACGUCGUGAGACAGUUCGGUCCCUAUCUGCCAUGGGCGUUGGAGAUUUGAGAGGGGCUGCUCCUAGUACGAGAGGACCGGAGUGGACGAACCUCUGGUGUUCCGGUUGUCACGCCAGUGGCAUUGCCGGGUAGCUAUGUUCGGAAGCGAUAACCGCUGAAAGCAUCUAAGCGGGAAGCGCGCCUCAAGAUGAGAUCUCCCGGGGCACAAGCCCCCUGAAGGAACCAUGUAGACUACGUGGUUGAUAGGUCAGGUGUGUAAGUACAGCAAUGUAUUGAGCUAACUGAUACUAAUGAUCCGUGCGGCUUGACCAU
This 2880-nucleotide ribosomal RNA is filed under the name Stenotrophomonas maltophilia. Its description in RNAcentral is "23S ribosomal RNA". It matches the Rfam family "Bacterial large subunit ribosomal RNA". Lineage: Bacteria; Pseudomonadati; Pseudomonadota; Gammaproteobacteria; Lysobacterales; Lysobacteraceae. The record is from RNAcentral.